AGAUGUUGAUGGGACGAUAACAAAGUAAGAGUUUUCUAAUGCAAUAGAGUAUUCCUAAAUCUUUUCGAUUUUAAAAUUAUUACAAGUUGAAAUUUCACUGUUUUUGCAGUUGCUUGUUACUGCAAUAUAAAAUUGGCAAAGCUACAUCCUUGAACUCCAUCCUAAAUAUUAUACUUCUAUAACUUUUAUUGUUGUAAACAUAUUGUUAUUUAACUAGAUUCUCCAUCACAGAAAAAUUAGAGAUUAG
RNAcentral lists this unclassified non-coding RNA (247 nucleotides) under Hevea brasiliensis (rubber tree). Lineage: Eukaryota; Viridiplantae; Streptophyta; Magnoliopsida; Malpighiales; Euphorbiaceae. The record is from RNAcentral.